This 1972-nucleotide ribosomal RNA is filed under the name human metagenome. Its description in RNAcentral is "bacterial LSU rRNA". It matches the Rfam family "Bacterial large subunit ribosomal RNA", at positions 1 to 1973 of the family's 2925-position model. The record is from RNAcentral.
UAAAAUAAUUAAGGGCACACAAAGGAUGCCUAGGUAGUAAGAGCCGAUGAAGGACGUGGUAAGCUGCGAUAAGCCUAGAUAAGUUGCAAUCGAACGUAAGAGUCUAGGAUUUCCGAAUGGAGCAAUCUAUUAAGAUGGAGUCUUAAUACGAAAGAGGGAACCGCGUGAACUGAAACAUCUAAGUAACGCGAGGAAAAGAAAGUAAAAACGAUACCCAAAGUAGCGGCGAGCGAAAUGGGUCAAGCCUAAACCUUAAAUAUGUCAAGGAUACAGCCGUUGUAUUUAGGGGGUUGAGGGACAGAGUAGUGAAGAACUGUAAGAUAUUCAAUAUAGUGUAUUGAUGAAUUGGAAUUGUCUGGAAAGGCGAACCGUAGAAGGUGAAAGUCCUGUACAAGUAAAUCCUUACACAUAUAACUCUGCUCCCAAGUAACAUGGAACACGAGGAAUUCUGUGUGAAUCUGUGAGGACCAUAUCUCAUAAGGCUAAAUACUCUUACUAACCGAUAGCGCAUAGUACCGUGAGGGAAAGGUGAAAAGAACCCCUGGAGGGGAGUGAAAUAGAACCUGAAAUUGUGUGCUUACAAGCGGUCAGAGCCAGUGAUGGUGAUGGCGUGCCUUUUGGAGAAUGAUCCUGCGAGUUACGUUAAACGGCGAGGUUAAGUAUAACGGAGCCGAAGGGAAACCAAGUCUUAAUAGGGCGAUUUAGUCGUUUGGCGUAGACGCGAAACCUGGUGAUCUAAACCUGUCCAGGAUGAAGCUGUGGUAAGACACAGUGGAGGUCCUAACCCACCGCCGUUGAAAAGUUGGGGGAUGAGGUAGGUUUAGGGGUGAAAAGCCAAUCGAACCAGGAGAUAGCUCGUUCUCUCCGAAAUGCAUCUAGGUGCAGCCUUGAGUGUUCAAUUAUGGGGGUAGAGCACUGAAUGAUCUAGGGGGCGUAUUGCUUACUGAAAUCAAUCAAACUCCGAAUACCAUAAUUUAGAGCUCAGGAGUGAGACUAUGGGAGUUAACUUCCAUUGUCGAAAGGGAAACAACCCAGACCACCAGCUAAGGUCCCUAAUUAUAACUAAGUGGGAAAGGAGGUGGAGAUUCACAAACAACUAGGAGGUUGGCUUAGAAGCAGCCAUACCUUUAAAGAGUGCGUAAUAGCUCACUAGUCGAGAGUCUCUGCGCCGACAAUGUAACGGGGCUAAGUUAUAAACCGAAGCUGUGGAAUCCGUAAGGAUUGGUAGGAGAGCGUUCUGUAGGCCGUUGAAGGAGAAGGGUAACCGACUCUGGAGGUAUCAGAAGUGAGAAUGCAGGAAUAAGUAGCGAGAAAGGGGGCGAGAAUCCCCCUCGCCGGAAGACCAAGGUUUUCAGGGUAAAGCUUGUCUUCCCUGAGUAAGCCGGGACCUAAGCCCAGGCUAUAAUGCGUAGGCGAAUGGAAAACAGAUUAAUAUUUCUGUGCCAGUCAUAUAUUGUGAUGGAGGGACGCAGAAGGGUAUGCGCGCGGACGAACGGAAGUGUCCGUAGAAGUAUGUAGGAUGACUUGAUAGGUAAAUCCAUUGAGUUAUAUCUGAGGUAUGAUAUACAGUCGUAAGAUGAAUGUGCAAAUCCCACGCUGCCAAGAAAAGCUUCUAACGUUAAUAUUUGACUGCCCGUACUGCAAACCGACACAGGUGGUCAGGAUGAGAAAUCUAAGGCGGACAGGCUAACUCUCGUUAAGGAACUCUGCAAAAUAACCUCGUAACUUCGGGAGAAGAGGAGCCCUUGAGGGUCAGUAUCCACGCGAUACAAAGCGCUCGAGGGUCGCAGUGAAGAGGCUCAAGCAACUGUUUAACAAAAACACAGGUCUAUGCUAAGCUGGAAGGCGAUGUAUAUGGGCUGACACCUGCCCAGUGCUGGAAGGUUAAGAGGAGGAGUGAGAGCUCCGAAUUGAAGCCCCAGUGAACGGCGGCCGUAACUAUAACGGUCCUAAGGUAGCGAAAUUCCUUGUC